UGCGGAGAAUGCCAUCAGGUAACAUGGU
RNAcentral lists this non-coding RNA (28 nucleotides) under Mus musculus (house mouse). The record is from RNAcentral. Lineage: Eukaryota; Metazoa; Chordata; Mammalia; Rodentia; Muridae.